AUUCAGCUGACGAGUGUCAAAUAGGACAGAACACGCGUCCUGGAU
Molecule: non-coding RNA, 45 nt
Filed under: Schistosoma mansoni
Lineage: Eukaryota; Metazoa; Platyhelminthes; Trematoda; Strigeidida; Schistosomatidae
Source: RNAcentral